RNAcentral lists this ribosomal RNA (505 nucleotides) under uncultured bacterium. RNAcentral describes it as "bacterial SSU rRNA". It matches the Rfam family "Bacterial small subunit ribosomal RNA", at positions 28 to 534 of the family's 1533-position model. The record is from RNAcentral.
GAUGAACGCUGGCGGCGUGCCUAACACAUGCCAGUCGAGCGGAGUAUGGGAGAAGUGCUUGCACGGACCUUAUACUCAGCGGCGGACGGGUGAGUAACACGUGAGCAACCUACCUUCAACUGGGGGAUAACACCGGGAAACUGGUGCUAAUACCGCAUAACGUCCCAUUGCCACAUGGCGAAGGGACCAAAGGAGCAAUCCGGUGGAAGAUGGGCUCGCGGCCGAUUAGAUAGUUGGCGGGGUAAUGGCCCGACCAAGUCAACGAUCGGUAGCCGGACUGAGAGGUCGAACGGCCACAUUGGGACUGAGACACGGCCCAGACUCCUACGGGAGGCAGCAGUGGGGAAUAUUGGGCAAUGGGCGAAAGCCUGACCUAGCAACGCCGCGUGAAGGAGAAGGCCCUCGGGUUGUAAACUUCUUUGAUCGGGGACGAACACAAUGACGGUACCCGAAGAACAAGCCACGGCUAACUACGUGCCAGCAGCCGCGGUAAUGUCGAGUAUCG